Molecule: ribosomal RNA, 429 nt
Filed under: Bacteroidota bacterium
Lineage: Bacteria; Pseudomonadati; Bacteroidota
Description: Bacteroidetes bacterium partial 16S ribosomal RNA
Rfam family: Bacterial small subunit ribosomal RNA
Source: RNAcentral
UAGGGAAUCUUCGGCAAUGGGGGGAACCCUGACCGAGCAACGCCGCGUGAGUGAAGAAGGUUUUCGGACCGUAAAGCUCUGUUGUUAAGGAAGAACGAGUGUGAGAAUGGAAAGUUCAUACUGUGACGGUACUUAACCAGAAAGGGACGGCUAACUACGUGCCAGCAGCCGCGGUAAUACGUAGGUCCCGAGCGUUGUCCGGAUUUAUUGGGCGUAAAGCGAGCGCAGGCGGUUAGAUAAGUCUGAAGUUAAAGGCAGUGGCUCAACCAUUGUAGGCUUUGGAAACUGUUUAACUUGAGUGCAGAAGGGGAGAGUGGAAUUCCAUGUGUAGCGGUGAAAUGCGUAGAUAUAUGGAGGAACACCGGUGGCGAAAGCGGCUCUCUGGUCUGUAACUGACGCUGAGGCUCGAAAGCGUGGGGAGCGAACAGG